This is a long non-coding RNA of Sebastes umbrosus (honeycomb rockfish), 162 nucleotides long. RefSeq lists it as uncharacterized. The transcript has 3 exons. The record is from RefSeq and is a predicted model, not a curated record. NCBI's taxonomy places the organism in Eukaryota, Metazoa, Chordata, Actinopteri, Perciformes, Sebastidae.
AUGUCCUACUAGCUUGUCAUGACGGAGGUUAAAUAACGCUCCAAACUUGCUCUAAAUUUUGGCGAAGAAAAACUGUCAUUGCCAUUUUCAAAUGGUCCUUUGACCUAUGAUCUCAAGAUAUGUGAAUGAAAAUGGGUUCUAUGGGUACCCACGAGUCUCCCC